AGGAAUCCGCCCAAGGAGGGGCUCGCGUCUGAUUAGUUAGUUGGUGAGGCAAUGGCUUACCAAGGCGACGAUCAGUAGCUGGUCCGAGAGGAUGAUCAGCCACACUGGGACUGAGACACGGCCCAGACUCCUACGGGAGGCAGCAGUGGGGAAUUUUCCGCAAUGGGCGAAAGCCUGACGGAGCAAUGCCGCGUGAAGGCAGAUGGCCCACGGGUCAUGAACUUCUUUUCUCGG
RNAcentral lists this ribosomal RNA (234 nucleotides) under uncultured organism. Its description in RNAcentral is "partial 16S ribosomal RNA". It matches the Rfam family "Bacterial small subunit ribosomal RNA", at positions 205 to 442 of the family's 1533-position model. The record is from RNAcentral.